Molecule: transfer RNA, 71 nt
Filed under: Bos taurus (domestic cattle)
Lineage: Eukaryota; Metazoa; Chordata; Mammalia; Artiodactyla; Bovidae
Also listed under: 1 other name
Rfam family: tRNA
About the family: Transfer RNA (tRNA) molecules are approximately 80 nucleotides in length. Their secondary structure includes four short double-helical elements and three loops (D, anti-codon, and T loops). Further hydrogen bonds mediate the characteristic L-shaped molecular structure. tRNAs have two regions of fundamental functional importance: the anti-codon, which is responsible for specific mRNA codon recognition, and the 3' end, to which the tRNAs corresponding amino acid is attached (by aminoacyl-tRNA synthetases). tRNAs cope with the degeneracy of the genetic code in two manners: having more than one tRNA (with a specific anti-codon) for a particular amino acid; and 'wobble' base-pairing, i.e. permitting non-standard base-pairing at the 3rd anti-codon position.
Source: Rfam by way of RNAcentral
UCCUUGGUGGCUCAGAUGGUAAAGCGUCUGCCUGCAAUGCAGGAGACCUGGGUUCGAUCCUGGGUUGGGAC